GGGAGCUACUGGUAUCCUAAGAGAUAGGAUAAUCUGCUUCACCGUAAGUUGAGAGCAGAAGCUGGGUUUGUCAGUGUGAGAAUUGCCUUUUGGGAACAGUUAGUACAUGGCUUGGAAGGUUAUAGCCACCAGCCUUUACUUUCCCACCACCCAAAUCUGUUAUAUCAUCAUCAGAAUGAUCUUUUCCAAGAUUCAAAUCUAAUCGUCCUAAUUCGCUGUUAACUCUUCAGUGACUCCCAGUUGCCUUCAGGUUAGAGUCCAGAUUCCUUCUGUAACAUGUGAGGUCUUCCUGGAUCUGAUCUCUGCCUCCUGUCCUCCUGUUGUUGCCUGUGCUCUAGUGACACUACAUUAUCUGCAGCUUCUUAACCUUUCCGCUGUCAUGUAUGCUCUGGCCCAGGAUAGCCUUUCUGCUGUGCUGUACUUGCCCGCCUUCCUGUGCUUCUGUUUUACUUGACAGUCUCGACUCUUUCUUUAAAAUUCUUCUCAACUGCUGUGUUUCUGUGAAGUCUUCUGACUUCUGAAGGUGAGGCCAUGGGAUGAGAGACUUUCCUUCACUAGGUUCUCGUGUAGUUGGUAUGUACAAAAGUCUUAGUACAUGUAGCAUCAGUGAUUAGUAGGCACAGUGGUGUCUCUUAAUGCUUUUAUGACCCAUUGGUGUUUUUAUUUUAGUGCUUCAUCCAUAUGUAGAUCCAGUCCUGACAGAUAUCUUUAGAAUUAGAAAAAUAAAUAAUACAUUUUAUAUAGCACCUUGCCAGACUUAGCAAAUUCUAUUUUAUUGUAUACCUCUUACCCCUGAUGAAGUGAAUAGCCAUCAGUAAAAUGAACCAUUAAGUUUGGAAAGAGCUGUUUAUUAUCAGGUUGAUGGCAUAAGUUCAUCUGAUCUGAUUUUUUAAUCAUUGGCAAACUUUGGCUAAGAUAAGUAUAAUUAUAUGCUUUCUUUCAAAUAACUUUUUCCUUCCUUCCUUCCUGUCUGUCUUUCCAUCUUUUCAGGUUGGACCCCUCGCCUGGGAACCGCACAUGCCGCGGAUGUGGCCCCAAAAAGAUAAAAGACAAAAAAAAAAGAUAAAUUAAAAAAAUUGGUUUGAAGCCAUAGGCAAAAAUGAACAAUUCCUAUACUAUAAUAAUCCGGUUCAGUAUUUGCCUUCCUCAUUGCACCAUGAGCUUGGUAGUGGCUGGAACAUUGUUAUAUUUGUCUCUGUAUCUGCAUUGACCUAGAAGGGGCCUGGCACCCAAGAGAUGCUUAGUAAAUACUAUUAGAAUGAAGGAAAGCCCCUGUAAGACAGGGAAAAUUAGAUGUUCCUCUAGGUUGUCUUAAGUCUUUUUUUGGGGGGUGGGGUUGCCGCACUGUGGCAUGUGGAAGUUCCUGGGCCAGGACUGAACCCUUGCCACUGCAUCUACCCAAGUCACUGCAAUGAUAAUGCUGGUUCCUUAGCCCUCUGAGCCACAUGGAAACUCGGCUUAAGUCUUAUUAUCUUGGAAGGGUCUAGGCAUCCUCCCCUGCACUUAAAAUCUUACUGAAUGCUAGUAUCUCGUCUGUCAUGUGUGCAAGUUGCAUUAGAUACUAGAGUGGGGACAGGGAAAACAUUCUGCUGUUAAUAUUCAUAGAUUCUAUGAUAUUAAACAUAUCUCCUUUCUAAAGGGCAACAGUCUAAGUUAGGUACUUGGCACAUAAAUGUAUUCCUCAGAAGGGCAAGGAGACUAAGAUAAUAUUGUCAAGUGCAGUUUAAUUCAUUUUAUUUAUACAGCCCAUUGUUUAUCCCCAUUUCACAGAUAGAGAAACCGAGGCUCUGGAAGGUUGAGGGGCUUGACCGAAGUUAUACAGCUAAUAAGUGGCAAAGUUAGUCCAAGCUUGGCUCUUCCAAAAAUUGAACAGGGCAGUACUCUCUCUUUUUCCCAGUUUUUAAGGGCAAGCACAGAGUUUUUUGUUAGCUGAUGGUAAUAGAAAACUGAGGAAUUGAUUUCUGUGUCUGGACAUUUGGGGCUGGGCAAGUAACAGCAGAACAAAAUAGCAUUUGCAAGGCUGUGAUCAUAGUGCUUGCUAGUACUUGGUCUUUUAAAUAAGCCAGUUUGAACCUGUGCUUCAGACACCUAGAUUUGUGAAGCAGUUGCUGUCUGACAGUGGGAUAGUCUUCCUUCUCUUUUGUCUUUUUUAGAGUCCUAUACUAGCAGCUCACAAAAGAGUUCUGAUGCAUUCCUUGCAGCCUUAAACGUCUCUUGCUCCUCCAGGUUUCUUGUUUCCGGGUGUGAAACUAGACAGACCACUCAGUUAUUACUAGGAAGCAAAAUUUAUGAGGCUGCUGUGUUUCUUGCUUCUGGGCUUGUAUAUACAAAGCCUUUGAGUAAGUAAUUUAGAGUUGAUCGCUGUUUGUUCCUUUCGCAGGUCAUCAGCCAGACAGAGUUGGGGUUCCUUGUGCCUGUCUCACUGCUUGAAGAGUCAGAGUAUUGCACAUGGCCUGGGAGAGAUAUUGUUACAAGAAAAGUUUUCUAUUUAAAGCAUUGGGAGAGGCCAGGGUGUCAGGAUUUGCUAAUCAGAUUAUUUUGUGAUUAUCCAUUGGGAUGCCCACCGAGACUGGCUGACAGUGUGAAUGUCACUUUCCCUUGGUCUCUUUUGGUACUUCCAUUGACUAGGGUAUCUUAGGGUAGUUCACUUUCCCCUUCAGUUUUCCUGACAGUAAAUGCUGCUGCUUAACUGCUUUUCAGAAAUAAUGACAUUUAUUCUUUGGAAGGAGCUGAAGAAAGAGUCUGUACAUGUCAUUUAUUUUUAACUGCAUACUCAGCGUUGAAAUCUUACUUUCAUUUUGUGGCUUAGACUCAAACAGGAAAGGGGAUGUAGUGGAAUUAGUAUAGGAUCUAAGUGCAGAACCACUUGGCAAAACGCCAUUCUGCUACUUAAUAACUCUAUUGGCUGAGCCUCAGUUUCCUCAACAUUAAAAUGAGACUAAUGAUACCUAAUAAUAAUAUUAGUGAUCUGUGAUUUAGGAUAAGUCUGAAUUUCUGUGAACCUCAAUUUUUUAAUCUGUAAAGUAGAGGCAGUAAUUCCUCAGUAAUAGAUUUGGUUUGAGAAGGAAACUGGCUAAUAUAAAUGGUAGUGCCUGGUGGAGUGCCUGGUACGAUAGUAUUUGUGAACGCAAAGUGGCUAUUAUACUGUUCUUAGGGGAGCUGAAGGAAAGAUCGCUGAGGGGAGUUCUCCUGUAGCACAGCAGGUUAAGGAUCCAGCACUGAAACUGCACUGGCCCAGGUUGCUCCUGUGGCUCUGGUUCCAUCCCUGGCCUGGGAACUUCCACGUGCCAUGGGCGUGGCCAAAAAGAAGUUGAAAAAUAUCCCUUAGGGUAGGGUAGUUCCUGUAGGAUGGGUCAGGGCUUAAUAAAUAAUUGUUGAUUAAUUCUUUCAAUGAGGAACUCUUGUCAUUUCCUUUAAGGACAGUUUUACUUGAUCUGUUGGUGUUCUUUUACCAUCAUUUUUCCAGAGAGCGCUAUGGUUUUCUUCCCAAGCUAUAGUCCACAUUUUGUUGUUCUAAGUUGCUCUCUAUCUAAAGUAGGGUACAGCAGCGAGUUGUGGUUCAAAAAUUCCAGUGCCUUGUAUUUCUGGGUCCUGUGUUUUGUAUGGAAGAUUGAGGAGAGUUUGUUGGAGGUCUUUAAGGAGAUGUGAUCAUGCUGUUAUUUUGCUGUUCUUUGGUAUAUGCCAAGAAGGAGGACUGGCCAGUAAAGAAAAAGGUCUUAGGGACCAGCAAACUAGCUAUCUCUGCAGACCUGGCCUGUGAUCUACUUAGCCGCUUCAGGCAAGUGACUCUGGAAGUGUAAAUUCCAACUGUCUCGGUACGGGGUUUGAUUUCUCUUUUUGUUGCAGUUAUGGAAUCCUUAGAGAUCUGCAAAGGCUGAAACCAAGAGAUUAAGAGUUCUUGUUUGAAGUCAUAUGGUAAAACCAGCACCUAGAUUUCUUGCUUUUAACUCUCUUCCAGAAAUUAGCUGUUUAUUUCAUAGGAUGUCUAGACAACAAUAAGCAGUUUAUUUUCAAGAAUACUUUUAUUUUCCUUCUCAUCAAUCCCGAAGAAUUGUAAUGAGCUGUAAAGUUCACAGAAUUCUUUCAUGGCCAGUGUUGCUUUUCUCUUCACAUCUCUGUAAGGUAAGCAAGUCAGGUACUCUUAAUGAUUUGGAAUUUUUUCUCUUUCUUUUUUCUUUUCUUUUUUUAAACCAAUGAGAAAAUUGAGGCCCGGAGAGGGAAGGUGACUUGUCAGAGUCACAUACUGAGUGAGUGGUAGGAUUAGAAUUAAGAAGAAGACCUUUUGUUUGUUUGUUUGUUUACUUAUUUACUUAUUAUUUAUUAUGCCCAUGGCAUUUGGAAGUUCCUAGGCCAGGGAUCAAACCUGUGCCACAGCAGUUUCAACACCAGGUCCUUAACCACUAGGCCACCGGGGAACUCCACGAAGGCCCUUUUAAUUUUAGGUUUGUUUGUCUUUUUAGGGCUGCACCCAUGGCAUAUGGAGGUUCCCAGGCUAGGGGUCAAAUCAGAGCUGUAGCUGCCAGCCUAUACCACAGCUACAGCAACGCUAGAUCUGUGCUGCAUCUGUGACCUCCACCACAGCUCAUGGCAAUGCUGGAUCCUUAACCCACUGAGCAAGGCUAGGAAUCGAACCUCCAUCCUUAUGGAUGCUAGUCAGAUUCAUUUCCCCUGAGCCAUGAUGGGAAUGUGCAAUUUUAGGUUUUUGAUUAUCACUGGGAACAUUGUCACACCUUGCCACCCCUGGAUAUUAUCAAUCUCUACAAUUUUUACCUCUCUGUUGAGAAAAAAAUACCUUGUUAAUGAAGUUAAAUAUUUUUUCAUGUUUAUUGGCCAUGUUUGGUUGUUCUUUGAAUUUUGUGUCAUUUAUUGCACAUUUUCUGCUAGGUUAUUUGUCUCAUCAGUUUUGCAGGGUGGGAGGGCUCUUUAUAUAUUAAGGGUUCACAGCUUUUGAUACAUGGUACAGACAUUUUUGAAGUUUUAUUUAUGAAACUUGGUGCCUUCCUAGAGUACCAAAGAGAAAAAUCUUUAUAUUGGAAUAGCUGUUUUUUAAAAAAUAGUGUAUGCAAACGACCCAAACAAAUAAAAAAGAAAAAAAA
Molecule: long non-coding RNA, 5096 nt
Filed under: Sus scrofa (pig)
Lineage: Eukaryota; Metazoa; Chordata; Mammalia; Artiodactyla; Suidae
Description: lncRNA (ENSSSCG00005003945.1)
Source: RNAcentral